This 253-nucleotide ribosomal RNA is filed under the name uncultured bacterium. RNAcentral's name for it is "partial 16S ribosomal RNA". It matches the Rfam family "Bacterial small subunit ribosomal RNA", at positions 524 to 776 of the family's 1533-position model. The record is from RNAcentral.
UACAGAGGUCUCAAGCGUUGUUCGGAUUCAUUGGGCGUAAAGGGUGUGUAGGUGGCGCGCUAAGUCGGGUGUGAAAUUUCGGAGCUUAACUCCGAAACUGCAUUCGAUACUGGCGUGCUUGAGGACUGGAGAGGAGACUGGAAUUCAUGGUGUAGCAGUGAAAUGCGUAGAGAUCAUGAGGAAGACCAGUGGCGAAGGCGGGUCUCUGGACAGUUCCUGAUACUGAGACACGAAGGCCAGGGGAGCAAACGGG